AGAGUUUGAUUCUGGCUCAGGAUGAACGCUGGCGGCGUGCUUAACACAUGCAAGUCGAACGAGGUCCAACCUUCGGGUGAAGACCGAGUGGCGAACGGGUGAGUAACACGUGGGGAACCUGCCCUUCUCUCUGGGAUAACCUCGGGAAACCGAAGCUAAUACCGGAUACUCCUUGCGGACCGCAUGGUCUGCUCGGGAAAGCUCCGGCGGAGAAGGAUGGCCCCGCGGCCCAUUAGCUUGUUGGUGGGGUAACGGCCCACCAAGGCGACGAUGGGUAGCCGAGCUGAGAGGCUGAUCGGCCACACUGGGACUGAGACACGGCCCAGACUCCUACGGGAGGCAGCAGUGGGGAAUCUUGCGCAAUGGGCGAAAGCCUGACGCAGCAACGCCGCGUGCGGGAUGAAGGCUCUCGGGUCGUAAACCGCUUUCAGCAGGGAUGAAAAUGACAGUACCUGCAGAAGGAGCCCCGGCUAAAUACGUGCCAGCGGCCGCGGUAAUACGUAUGGGGCAAGCGUUAUCCGGAUUCAUUGGGCGUAAAGCGCGCGUAGGCGGCUUGUUAAGUCAGGCGUGAAAUCCGGGGGCUCAACCCGCGGCUUGCGUCUGAAACUGGCAGGCUUGAGUCUGGUAGAGGAAAGUGGAAUUCCUGGUGUAGCGGUGAAUGCGCAGAUAUCAGGAGGAACACCAGUGGCGAAGGCGGCUUUCUGGGCCACGACUGACGCUGAGGCGCGAAAGCUAGGGGAGCGAACAGGAUUAGAUACCCUGGUAGUC
Molecule: ribosomal RNA, 768 nt
Filed under: uncultured Actinomycetes bacterium
Lineage: Bacteria; Bacillati; Actinomycetota; Actinomycetes
Description: bacterial SSU rRNA
Rfam family: Bacterial small subunit ribosomal RNA
Source: RNAcentral